AGGGUUCGAUUCUGGCUCAGGAUAAACGCUGGCGGCGUGCUUAACACAUGCAAGUCGAACGGGGUUAAUGACUCGGUUGUUAACCUAGUGGCGGACGGGUGAGUAACGCGUGGGUAACCUGCCCUGCAGAGGGGGACAACAGCUGGAAACGGCUGCUAAUACCGCAUACGCCGGUCAUACCGCAUGGUGGGACCGGGAAAGAUUCAUCGCCGCAGGAUGGACCCGCGUCUGAUUAGCCAGUUGGCGGGGUAACGGCCCACCAAAGCGACGAUCAGUAGCCGAUCUGAGAGGAUGUACGGCCACAUUGGGACUGAGACACGGCCCAGACUCCUACGGGAGGCAGCAGUGGGGAAUUUUGCGCAAUGGGGGGAACCCUGAUGCAGCGAACCGCCGCGUGAGUGAAGAAGUAUUUCGGUAUGUAAAGCUCUAUCAGCAGGGAAGAAGAUGACGGUACCUGCACAAGAAGCCCCGGCUAACUACGUGCCAGCCGCAGC
Molecule: ribosomal RNA, 494 nt
Filed under: uncultured bacterium
Lineage: Bacteria
Description: bacterial SSU rRNA
Rfam family: Bacterial small subunit ribosomal RNA
Source: RNAcentral